GUAAUGCGUAGGUGGCAAGCGUUAUCCGGAAUUAUUGGGCGUAAAGCGCGCGUAGGCGGUUUUUUAAGUCUGAUGUGAAAGCCCACGGCUCAACCGUGGAGGGUCAUUGGAAACUGGAAAACUUGAGUGCAGAAGAGGAAAGUGGAAUUCCAUGUGUAGCGGUGAAAUGCGCAGAGAUAUGGAGGAACACCAGUGGCGAAGGCGACUUUCUGGUCUGUAACUGACGCUGAUGUGCGAAAGCGUGGGGAUCAAACAGGAUUAGAUACC
This 267-nucleotide ribosomal RNA is filed under the name uncultured Staphylococcus sp. RNAcentral describes it as "partial 16S ribosomal RNA". It matches the Rfam family "Bacterial small subunit ribosomal RNA", at positions 520 to 786 of the family's 1533-position model. Lineage: Bacteria; Bacillati; Bacillota; Bacilli; Caryophanales; Staphylococcaceae. The record is from RNAcentral.